This 386-nucleotide ribosomal RNA is filed under the name uncultured bacterium. RNAcentral describes it as "bacterial SSU rRNA". It matches the Rfam family "Bacterial small subunit ribosomal RNA", at positions 30 to 416 of the family's 1533-position model. The record is from RNAcentral.
AUUGAACGCUGGCGGCAUGCCUUACACAUGCAAGUCGAACGGCAGCACGGGAGCAAUCCUGGUGGCGAGUGGCGAACGGGUGAGUAAUAUAUCGGAACGUGCCCAGUCGUGGGGGAUAACGUAGCGAAAGCUACGCUAAUACCGCAUACGAUCUAUGGAUGAAAGCGGGGGAUCGCAAGACCUCGCGCGAUUGGAGCGGCCGAUAUCAGAUUAGGUUGUUGGUGGGGUAAAAGCCUACCAAGCCUGCGAUCUGUAGCUGGUCUGAGAGGACGACCAGCCACACUGGAACUGAGACACGGUCCAGACUCCUACGGGAGGCAGCAGUGGGGAAUUUUGGACAAUGGGCGCAAGCCUGAUCCAGCAAUGCCGCGUGCAGGAUGAAGGCC